Molecule: long non-coding RNA, 300 nt
Organism: Hypanus sabinus (Atlantic stingray)
Lineage: Eukaryota; Metazoa; Chordata; Chondrichthyes; Myliobatiformes; Dasyatidae
Exons: 3
Source: RefSeq, a predicted model, not a curated record
AUCAGAACGAAGCGAAUGGUCUGGUUGGGCCAUGGCGGAAGCCCCUGCAAUGUUUGAUGUUCGAGACAGAAAAGAGAAACACAGCAGAAACAGGAGGAGAAAAUCUACCAGCGGCAAUUUCGGCCCGGUCUAUCGGAAGAAAUCCGAUAUUGCUCACAGCACAUCUUUUGGAAAAGAGGUCAGUGAAGACAAUAAAGGUCGAACAUUAAUGCUGCUGGACAGAGAAGCAGACGCCUCUGGUGCGAAGAAAACUGCAGUAGAAACACAACUAUGGCAAUACAUCGGGAUCCGGAUUUCCUU